AUGUGGCGACACAGCGCGGAACCCGAAAACGCCUCUCAGUUCGGAUCGGAGUCUGCAACCCGACUCCGUGAAGCUGGAUUCGCUAGUAAUCGCGCAUCAGCCAUGGCGCGGUGAAUACGUUCCCGGGCCUUGUACACACCGCCCGUCAAGCCAUGGGAGCCGGGAGCGCUUGAAGUGCGUCGCCGCGAGGCGCGCCCUAGAGCGAGACCGGUGACUGGGCUAAGUCGUAACAAGGUACC
Molecule: ribosomal RNA, 239 nt
Filed under: uncultured bacterium
Lineage: Bacteria
Description: partial 16S ribosomal RNA
Rfam family: Bacterial small subunit ribosomal RNA
Source: RNAcentral